CCUACGGGAGGCAGCCGUGGGGAAUAUUGGGCAAUGGGCGCAAGCCUGACCCAGCAACGCCGCGUGAAGGAAGAAGGCUUUCGGGUUGUAACCUUCUUUUCUCAGGGACGAAGCAAGUGACGGUACCUGAGGAAUAAGCCACGGCUAACUACGUGCCAGCAGCCGCGGGAAUACGUCGGUGGCAAGCGUUAUACGGAUUUACUGGGUGUAAAGGGCGUGUAGGCGGGACUGCAAGUCAGAUGUGAAAACACUGGGCUCAACCUGUGGCCUGCAUUGGAAACUGUAGUUCGUGAGUACUGUGGAGGCAGACGGAAUUCCUAGUGUAGCGGUGAAAUGCGGAGAUAUUAGGAGGAACACCAGUGGCGAAGGCGGUCUGCUGGACAGCAACUGACGCUGAGGCGCGAAAGCGUGGGGAGCAAACAGGAUUAGAUACCCCUGUAGUC
Molecule: ribosomal RNA, 443 nt
Filed under: uncultured bacterium
Lineage: Bacteria
Description: partial 16S ribosomal RNA
Rfam family: Bacterial small subunit ribosomal RNA
Source: RNAcentral